This 497-nucleotide ribosomal RNA is filed under the name uncultured bacterium. RNAcentral's name for it is "partial 16S ribosomal RNA". It matches the Rfam family "Bacterial small subunit ribosomal RNA", at positions 28 to 507 of the family's 1533-position model. The record is from RNAcentral.
GAUGAACGCUGGCGGCGUGCCUAAUACAUGCAAGUCGAGCGAACAGAUGAGGCGCUUGCUCCUCUGACGUUAGCGGCGGACGGGUGAGUAACACGUGGAUAACCUACCUAUAAGACUGGGAUAACUUCGGGAAACCGGAGCUAAUACCGGAUAAUAUAUUGAACCGCAUGGUUCAAUAGUGAAAGACGGUUUUGCUGUCACUUAUAGAUGGAUCCGCGCCGCAUUAGCUAGUUGGUAAGGUAACGGCUUAUCAAGGCAACGAUGCGUAGCCGACCUGAGAGGGUGAUAGGCCACACUGGAACUGAGACAGGGUCCAGACUCCUACGGGACGCAGCAGUAGGGAAUCUUCCGCAAUGGGCGAAAGCCUGACGGAGCAACGCCGCGUGAGUGAUGAAGGUCUUCGGAUCGUAAAACUCUGUUAUUAGGGAAGAACAAAUGUGUAAGUAACUAUGCACGUCUUGACGGUACCUAAUCAGAAAGCCACGGCUAACUACGUG